GAAUGGAUAAGCGCUGAAAGCAUCUAAGCGCGAAGCCAACUUCAAGAUAAGAUUUCCCACCGCAAGGGUAAGACCCCAGAAAGACUAUCUGGUUGAUAGGUCGAAGGUGUAAGUGCAGCAAUGUAUUUAGCUUAUCGAUACUAAUAGGUCGAGGACUUGACCAAUAUUUAUU
This 172-nucleotide ribosomal RNA is filed under the name Clostridioides difficile. Its description in RNAcentral is "partial 23S ribosomal RNA". It matches the Rfam family "Bacterial large subunit ribosomal RNA", at positions 2758 to 2925 of the family's 2925-position model. Lineage: Bacteria; Bacillati; Bacillota; Clostridia; Peptostreptococcales; Peptostreptococcaceae. The record is from RNAcentral.